This 445-nucleotide ribosomal RNA is filed under the name uncultured bacterium. RNAcentral describes it as "partial 16S ribosomal RNA". It matches the Rfam family "Bacterial small subunit ribosomal RNA", at positions 354 to 796 of the family's 1533-position model. The record is from RNAcentral.
GUAGGGAAUAUUGGGCAAUGGAGGCAACUCUGACCCAGCCAUGCCGCGUGCAGGAUGACGGCCCUCUGGGUUGUAAACUGCUUUUAUACGGGAAGAAAAAAUACUACGUGUAGUAUACUGACGGUACCGUAAGAAUAAGGAUCGGCUAACUCCGUGCCAGCAGCCGCGGUAAUACGGAGGAUCCAAGCGUUGUCCGGAUUUAUUGGGUUUAAAGGGUGCGUAGGCGGAUCUUUAAGUCAGUGGUGAAAGCCUGCAGCUUAACUGUAGAAUAGCCAUUGAAACUGAAGCUCUUGAAUGUCGUUAAAGUAGGCAGAAUGUAUCAUGUAGCGGUGAAAUGCUUAGAUAUGAUACAGAACACCGAUAGCGAAGGCAGCUUGCUGAUCCAUUAUUGACGCUGAGGCACGAAAGCGUGGGGAGCGAACAGGAUUAGCAACCCGGGUAGUCC